GUUUUAAUAAUUUAAACAAAAUAUUAGUCUUGUAAACUAAAAAUAAGUAACACUUUUAAAACA
Molecule: transfer RNA, 63 nt
Filed under: Obrium sp. NS-2015
Lineage: Eukaryota; Metazoa; Arthropoda; Insecta; Coleoptera; Cerambycidae
Description: tRNA-Thr
Source: RNAcentral